This 200-nucleotide unclassified non-coding RNA is filed under the name Pleosporales sp. RNAcentral's name for it is "partial internal transcribed spacer 2". Lineage: Eukaryota; Fungi; Ascomycota; Dothideomycetes; Pleosporales. The record is from RNAcentral.
UUAAGUUCAGCGGGUAUCCCUACCUGAUCCGAGGUCAAGCGUAAAGUUGUAGGCUUGUGGACGCCGCCGUACUCAGGAGAAAACGCAAAAUGUGCUGCGCUCUACUACUAGACGGCUGGCUGCCAAUUCAUUUGAGGCGAGUUCACGCGCAUAGCGGAACAAACGCCCAACACCCAGCAGGGCUGGAGGGUACAAAUGAC